This 236-nucleotide unclassified non-coding RNA is filed under the name uncultured fungus. Its description in RNAcentral is "sequence contains ITS1, 5.8S rRNA gene". The stretch from base 188 to 236 matches the Rfam family "5.8S ribosomal RNA", at positions 1 to 49 of the family's 154-position model. Lineage: Eukaryota; Fungi. The record is from RNAcentral.
UCUCCGUAGGUGAACCUGCGGAGGGAUCAUUACUGAGUGAGGGUCCUUGUGGCCCGACCUCCAACCCCCUGUCUUCCGACUCUGUUGCCUCGGGGGCGACCCGUACUCGGUCGAGGACGGGCCACCCCCGGUGGACCCCUCGACUCUGCGUUUCGUGCGUCGGAGUCUCAUGGGAAAUUUGAAUCAAAACUUUCAACAACGGAUCUCUUGGUUCUGGCAUCGAUGAAGAACGCAGC